AUACUAACCUGGCAGGGGAAAUACCAUGAUCAAGGUGGUUUUCCCAGGGCGCGGCUUAUUCAUUGCACUCUGAUGUGCUGACCUCAGCGAUUUCCCCAAAUGUGGGAAACUUGACUGCAUAAUUUGGGUAGUGGGGGACUGUAUUCACGCUUUUCCCUG
Small nuclear RNA from Suricata suricatta (meerkat), 159 nucleotides. Its record names the gene U1. It matches the Rfam family "U1 spliceosomal RNA". From Rfam's summary of the family: U1 is a small nuclear RNA (snRNA) component of the spliceosome (involved in pre-mRNA splicing). The record is from Ensembl. Lineage: Eukaryota; Metazoa; Chordata; Mammalia; Carnivora; Herpestidae.